Molecule: microRNA precursor, 103 nt
Organism: Lucilia cuprina (Australian sheep blowfly)
Lineage: Eukaryota; Metazoa; Arthropoda; Insecta; Diptera; Calliphoridae
Rfam family: mir-46/mir-47/mir-281 microRNA precursor family
About the family: The hairpin precursors (represented here) are predicted based on base pairing and cross-species conservation -- their extents are not known. In this case the mature sequences are expressed from the 3' arms of the hairpin precursors.
Source: Rfam
CGAAUAACGAAAUAAAGAGAGCUAUCUGUCGACAGUCUAGUUAUUAAAUGACAACAAAACAUUAUAUUACUGUCAUGGAAUUGCUCUCUUUGUAUAGUAUUCG